UCGAAUGCGUGCUUCUCCAGGAAUAUUUGCUCUGGUAAUAGCUGAGAAUAAAAGGCAUGUCUAACAGUUUGAUUGCAGAGACCUAGGAAGGGAAGGCUUAUAGCCGGCUUCUUCACAAUCCAACUGGAAGUAGGGUAGCCGGAUCCUGGCAUCCGUAUCUCCUGCUGGGUGAGGGUCACAGGAUCUCAGCGCCCAGGUGAGGCAACGAUGUUGAAAGAGGCUUCAGAAGAACUGGGCCAGAACAGUGGAAUCAAACGGAAAAGACUGGAAAUUCAAUCAGCUUGGGGAAUGACCAGAGAGCGUCUGUUGCCCAGCAAGGCUUGAAAACAGAGAUUCCCAGCAACAGGGCCAUAGCAAAGCUCUCUCAGCACACCUGCCCCGGACCGUCAGCUGAUGAGAGCUUGUGAUUGUGCCAUCCAAGGAGACGUAGCUAUUUGGUCUUCAGCUGGUUCUGGGCACAGAGCAUCUAAGACCCUUGGAAUCUUUCGAGUGGUCAGAGUGCCUUUGUGUAGUCGGGACAGGCCUGGGAGCUGGGGCCCCCUAGGCAGUUUCAGGGUGGUUCUCGGGUUCAGAAAGACCAAGGCAGGACUAGAGGGCUGGAGCUGUCAGUCUCCAACCCAACCUCUGACCUGGAGGGAGAGGGCUGGAGAUGAGUCAAUCCCCAUUAGCCAAAGAUGUCAUCAACCAUGUCUACAGUGACACCUCUAGAAAACCCUAAAUGGUGGGGUUGGAGAGCUUUCAGGUUGGGGAAAACCUUGACAUUCUGGGAGGGCAGCAUUCCCACUCCCCAGGGCCAGAAGCCCUUGCACUUGAAACCCGCCCCCACCCACCAGGCCUGGAGCAAUGCACCUCGUCAUCUGGCUGUUCACAGGUCCUUCAUAACGAACUGGUGAGAGUAGGUAAAGGUGUUGCCCUAGGUACUGUGAGCCAGUCUGGCGCGUUAUUGACCUUAAGUAGAAGGACAUGGCAACCCCGAUUUGUAGGUGGUCAUCUAGAAGCAAGCGAGACCUGAAACUUGCCAUUGGCGAAGCGGGGGCAGGCUCAGGGGACUGAGCCCUUGACCUUGAUUUUUCCUGUUGCAGCAAUAUGUCCAAUUUCAGAGCUGAAACAGGGGUGUAACAUCUGCCAUUUAGAUUUGGGGAGGACCCUCAGAACCAACCUCAGGGCCACCUGCCACAUGUACAUCAGCACUGUGGUGCAACUUGAACUCUGCAAAUCAAGCCUCUAAUGUCUUAGGGGAAUCUGAACCUUCGAUUUCAUGCCCCGUGCAAGGUGAGUCCUUCCGAGAACACCCCUUGGAGCACUUCGCACAUGGUUCAGUGCUGAUCAGUUCUCAAUGAUCUGUGCCACCAGCACUUUGAUGCUUUGAACAACAACGUCCUAUAAUUCCCCCCAACGGCAAGCUACAGAUCUGAUUAGCGAGCCAAGAGCCUCACGCUUCAGAGGGGUGGAGUGUGCAUUAGUGACAGCUGAACUGUUUAGAAAGAGCCUGAAACAGCCAGCACCCGCUGGGCUGGAGUACAGGUGCCUAAAUAGUGCAACAGCGGAAACAUAAGCUAAACUCACAGGAAGAAAAAUUCACAUUAAAAUUACACUGAAAGAUUCUUCACCCAUCAUAUUGACAAAAAUAAAAGUCAGCUAAUAGGGCAGAUAAGGGAGUGGAGAAAGAAGUGCUGCUGUUUACCGCUCAGCGGGGUGUAUAGCCUCACAGGCUUCAAAAAGACAAUCAUCGUAAAAGCUACAUCGGUAGUUCUCUUUGAAACAGAACUCCCACUUCGAGAACUGUUUCCAUUUGCCACGAAGGUGUCACUCACCGCAGCAGCAAAAGAGGGAAAAUCACCAAACAGGGCUGGCUCAAAUAACCUUAGUGCUCCCACAACGUAGCACUGUGCCACCUCGAGAAUAGCACGGAGCUCGUUACAUGCUGACAAAGGACCCCAAGAUAUAAAAUAUGCGUGUGUAGGCAGUC
Macaca mulatta (Rhesus monkey) is the source of this 1969-nucleotide non-coding RNA. The record is from RefSeq and is a predicted model, not a curated record. Lineage: Eukaryota; Metazoa; Chordata; Mammalia; Primates; Cercopithecidae.